Mya arenaria is the source of this 531-nucleotide long non-coding RNA. RefSeq lists it as uncharacterized. The transcript has 5 exons. The record is from RefSeq and is a predicted model, not a curated record. NCBI's taxonomy places the organism in Eukaryota, Metazoa, Mollusca, Bivalvia, Myida, Myidae.
CUCAGACAAAGCGCUAAAAACAAAAAAGACAAUAUUAUCACAGGGCUGGAUAAUCAAGCAUACGAUCAAUACGAGAUCCUCAGUGAUGUUGAACGCAGUCAUUAUUCAAAUCUGGAUGCAGCUCGUUUAGCCAGCCAAGCUAUAAAAUUAGAGAGUCGAGAUACUGUCCAGUAUGAGAAUUUACGGGUCCCAAAGCCAGACUUUGAGAGAAGCACUCAAUAUGAGAGCCUUGUCCAGGGAGGCUCUCGAUACAACAAUGUUGUAUGGACACACGACUCCUCAACGACAAAGGUGCAAUGACUUGACAAUGUACAUGGAUAAGUAAAAUUGGUGGAAACAGAAAUGUGAACUACUCUUUCGGAACAAGACCUUUUGUACAAAAUGUAAAAACUUUGAUUCUACUAUAACAUUUCUGAUUGCGCGUUACCCGUCAAAUUAAUUUGUUUGGAUGCAGAACAUGACUGCCGGAUUUUACCUCAAUACAAAAGUGUAAUACACACGGAUAGCCCCUGAUGAAACAGUAAUGUGAAA